Molecule: long non-coding RNA, 456 nt
Organism: Jaculus jaculus (lesser Egyptian jerboa)
Lineage: Eukaryota; Metazoa; Chordata; Mammalia; Rodentia; Dipodidae
Exons: 3
Source: RefSeq, a predicted model, not a curated record
GCUUCCUCUCCCGUUCGCUCAGCCCCCAAGUUAUAAUUCCUCAGGGAGGCUGGCCGGCUCGCGGAUUCGUUCUGCUUGCACAGAUCCUUACGGGCCGGUGGAGCAGAGAAACCAUGAACCAAGAUAGUGGCUGUAAUGGAAGAUGGAGACAGGCUUGGAUAUAAACCGUUCUAGGUAUUGAAGAAAGGGAUGAGUCCUCAGCUGAACAGCAGCACUGACUUCUAGAGCACCAUAGAACUGAGUUACUACCUCUCAGAAGGAAGCCAGGGGCCACUUCUGGAAGGUGAAGGAAGAGGAUGCUCUGCAUCCCAGACUGGCCUCAAACUCAGUGGUCCUCCCACCUAAGCCUCCUGGGAGCUGGGAUUAGAAGCGUGUACCACAUCAGCCAGUUUCAUGAGGACGUUUCCUGGUGGCAGAAGAAAGCACAGCAAGCACAGGGGCUGGACAUCACCUCUG